UACAGAGGGGGCAAGCGUUGUUCGGAAUUACUGGGCGUAAAGGGCGCAUAGGCGGCCGCCUAAGUCAGACGUGAAAUCCCUCGGCUUAACCGGGGAACUGCGUCUGAUACUGGAUGGCUUGAGUUCGGGAGAGGGAUGCGGAAUUCCAGGUGUAGCGGUGAAAUGCGUAGAUAUCUGGAGGAACACCGGUGGCGAAGGCGGCAUCCUGGACCGACACUGACACUGAGGAGCGAAAGCCAGGGGAGCAAACGGG
Molecule: ribosomal RNA, 253 nt
Filed under: uncultured bacterium
Lineage: Bacteria
Description: partial 16S ribosomal RNA
Rfam family: Bacterial small subunit ribosomal RNA
Source: RNAcentral